Long non-coding RNA from Arabidopsis thaliana (thale cress), 212 nucleotides. RefSeq annotates it as other RNA. The transcript has a single exon. The record is from RefSeq. NCBI's taxonomy places the organism in Eukaryota, Viridiplantae, Streptophyta, Magnoliopsida, Brassicales, Brassicaceae.
AUCCAUUCCAAAAACAGCACGAAAAUCGGCUUUGAAGGAUGACAGGGGAUAUCCAGCCCCUUUCCAGUUCGCUGAUGUAUCUCGGAGGUACAGAGGAAGCCAGGUUACAAAUGUUUUGAGCCAUGUUGGAACAGAAUCUCCGAGAAAUCCAAGAGUUUCCUCAUCACUUGCAUUUGGUGAAACUGCUGCACUUUGUGACUGUGCAAGUUCUG